UACGGAGGGUGCGAGCGUUGUCCGGAAUCACUGGGCGUAAAGGGCGCGUAGGUGGCGCGGGCAGUCAACGGUGAAAGUUCGGGGCUCAACCCUGAAUCGGCCGUCGAUACUCUCGUGCUUGAGCACUGUAGAGGCAGAUGGAAUUCCGGGUGUAGCGGUGGAAUGCGUAGAGAUCGGGAGGAACACCAGUGGCGAAGGCGGCUACCUGGACCAGCACUGACACUGAGGCACGAAAGCGUGGGGAGCAAACAGG
RNAcentral lists this ribosomal RNA (253 nucleotides) under uncultured bacterium. RNAcentral's name for it is "partial 16S ribosomal RNA". It matches the Rfam family "Bacterial small subunit ribosomal RNA", at positions 524 to 776 of the family's 1533-position model. The record is from RNAcentral.